AAUUCACUAUUUAUGAUACAUUUUUUGUUCAUGAAACUUCAGAAGUCUAUAACUUUUGUAUAUGAAGUUGAAUUUGAGUGUACUUUAUAUGUACAAGAUUCAGAUCGCAACUCCUACAUUUUCCGUCAAGAUUAAUCGUCUUAAACGGUGACCUCCACUAACUACCACUCUCCUCCUCCUCUCAUCCCUAACCGGUGACCUCCACUAACACUCAUACGUUGUCGUUGCUUUUUCUCUUUAACUAAGCCAUGUUUGACUAUAAAUAGAUUUUGAAUAUUCUUGAAUUUAGGUGUGCCAAUGCUCAGUCAAUGACAGGUUGGACAACUUCAACAAAUGGCAACUUCUCCACUCCCAAGUUUUUUUUUUAAAUUCCCUCUUCUUCUGCAGUAUUUCGCCCACUGUGUUACGGCACUCAAUUUUGAAAUCCAGCUUCCCCAAUCUCGGCACUUAUCUCUCGAUCCUUCUCCUAUAAGUUGCGUCUCACCUCCCUUAUAAUCCCCCGUUCUCCAAAAACCCUACACUUCACCACCACCACCGCUCCAUCAACAACUUCCUUGAAACCCCAUCAUCCCUAAAUAAGCGCUACAAGUACGUUCCAAAUUUUAUUGAAAUCCGAACUUUGGAUUCAUUCAAAUUGGAGAACCAAAAGAUACCCACUUGAUUGACAAAUUAUAGCGUAUCAUCCAUUUUAUUCAGGUUAGACCCAAUCGGCUUUACUUCAGGUAAGACCUUCAUCCAUUUGAUUCAAGUUAGGUUAACCAUUAACCGUUCCUUCUGUCUUUCUACUCGAAUUCAAUAACAUUUUCAUAUGCAGGCUGCCAUAGUCAAGUACCAACUCAACUACACUCUUAUUUUUCUCAAUUUUAAGGUUUGAAGAAUGCUCUCUCUUAUUUGUAACUUGGUCACUCUCAAUUUUACGGUUUGCCACCACCAUCCUCUCCCACCCCCGCUUACACCACCACUCACAAACACUAUUAACUAUCUGACUCAUUAAAAACCAUAACCCCUCAAAUACUUGGAUAUUCUUCUUCAUCAUUUCAAAAUUUUCUUUAUAUUGUUUUGGUUUGGUUGCAUUUUUGAUGAAAAACAAGUUCGACUUCAAGCAGACUGAUGAUUAUAAAGAAGAAACAAAUUCGGGUGUAUUUGUAUGUAUCUGUCUCUAUCUCCAGAACUAUCAUACACAUAUAAUUUUUUGGUAACAGAUUUGGGUGUAUUUUUAUCUAUGUGUGUGUAUUUAUAUCUAUUUGUAUGGAUCUAUGUGACAUAUGAGUAGUAAGUUUAUAAUCACUUUUUGUUUAUUGGUUUUUUUAUUUGUAUUAUGUGGUGAUACAGGGUCUUCAUUGUUAAUCUUGGUGUCUUAAUAUGUGGUUUUACUCCAAAAGACUAAAUCUAGAUACAUAUCCUGUAAGUGUUCACAAUUCAAAAGUUUUACCCCUAUAAAGAAAAAGCUUUGCAACCCUAAGCUAAAAAAAUUUAUGAUGUAUGUGAGGUGAGGGAAGGAUGCUGAUGUAUCCGUGGAGGCAGAUGAAGUCCAAGUGUACAAACUUUUCCUUAUCAAUGAAUAAAAAUUAUAUAGUUGUUAUUGUGUUGUUUAUAAGGGUUUCGUCUGUUGAUAGUAUUAUAUAGGAACAUUGCAAAAGCUACCAAAGGCCAAACUAUUUGAUUUGUUUCAUAGAUGAUAUUUGAUAUCUUUCAUUGUACGUUUAUGUGCUUGCCAUUGCAUAAAAUGUUAGUUGAUUUAUUUUUUUAUUUCUGUUGGGAUCAUAAGGGUUUAGAAUAAUGGUCCGUCAACAAUAUGGAGCUAUUAACGGAAAAAAUCCUUUCUUUAUAUAAUUUCUCACUAAACCAUAUGUUUUCUAAUAGCAUCAAUGAGGAAGAAUAUGGUAAAGACAUCAAGGGUGAGAUUAAUUAGCAAUGUUGUCAAGCUCUAACAUGAUUGGUUGUAGGCAUUCUUUCCAGCCUCUAAUAAUUUUUCUAUUGCAAGGUAAAAUUUUAAAAAUACGGGUUGAUAAAGUAGUCAGUUUUUAAACUCUCCAUUGAAUUUGAGUAUUUGAAAUCUUAUUGUAGGAGGGUAUAUGCUCAUAGAAAAGAGACAGAUAACAUAUUUAAUUUUUAUAUUGUUAAAUGCAAAGAAUAGCAGUGUACUUUUUUGUCUGUUUUCUAUAACAUCUCACUUUUUUUUAACAGAAUUUUGCAAUUAAUAAUGUGAAGAGAAAAUUGGAUAAUGUUGCACCACUUUAGUCCUAACUUUGAUGUAUCUGCGUAUCGGUACACUAUAAUUCUAUUUUUCCCUCAAUUUUCAGCCAACUAAAGAUUUUUUUGGAACAUGUAAUUUGAUUUUAAAAACUUUAUAGUAAAUGACAUUGCAACAUAGUUUACUUAACUCCUCAACUUUAUUCCUAUUUUGUAGGUUAAGCUGAUGAUUUCUUUUGGGCUGAUUCUGUUAGGGGCUAUUCUUUUGGGCAGAAUCAAAAUUCAUUCCAUCACUUUCUAUCAUAUUGUUUUUAUAAGGCAUUUUAACUGUUUGGAAAUGGCAGAAAGCAUUCAAUAUAAAAGUGAACCUAUACGAUGGUCUAAACUUUAGGUAUUUUUAUUUGUAUUUAGAAAUUAACA
Molecule: non-coding RNA, 2613 nt
Organism: Lactuca sativa (garden lettuce)
Lineage: Eukaryota; Viridiplantae; Streptophyta; Magnoliopsida; Asterales; Asteraceae
Source: RefSeq, a predicted model, not a curated record